RNAcentral lists this ribosomal RNA (1251 nucleotides) under uncultured fungus. RNAcentral describes it as "eukaryotic LSU rRNA". The stretch from base 485 to 1251 matches the Rfam family "Eukaryotic large subunit ribosomal RNA", at positions 1 to 649 of the family's 3401-position model. Lineage: Eukaryota; Fungi. The record is from RNAcentral.
AAGUCGUAACAAGGUUUCCGUAGGUGAACCUGCGGAAGGAUCAUUAACGUAUGUAUAUGUAAGUAAGAGUGAGUUAGUGGGGGUGGUUCAAGCCGCCCCUAUGAAGAUUUUAAAUACAAGUAGAAUAAUUUAUAAAUGAGGAUAACUUUUAACAAUGGAUCUCUAGGCUCUCGCAACGAUGAAGAACGUAGUGAAGUGCGAUAACUGGUGUGAAUUGCAUUACUUUGUGAAUCAUUGAGUCUUUGAACGCAAAUUGCACUGUAAGUAAAAUUACAGUAUACCUGUUUGAGUAUUGUGUAAUCACCCAUUCAAUUGGACAUGAGCUUUGUACUGAAAAGUACUUGCUUUAAAUGUAGUAUGUUGGUAGUACGGAGGUAUACCCCUUUGUAACAUGAGUUAUUGUGCGUAAAAGUGUCAAUGUAUCUUGUUAGGAAGUGGUGGUACGCCGUGCGAAGGCCUGAUGGUUUACAACAUUUUAUUCAUUCAAUCUCAAAUCAGGUAAGAGUACCCACUGAACUUAAGCAUAUCAGUAAGUGGAGGAAAAGAAACUAACUAGGAUUCCCUUAGUAACGGCGAGUGAAGCGGGAAGAGCUCGAAUUUGUAAUCCCCCUAUGUAGUAGGGUGAAUUGUAAUUGAUAGAAGCACUCUCGGGGCGCUGACCAUUGCACAAGUCCUUUGGAAUAAGGCAUCAUAGAGGGUGAGAAUCCCGUGCUUGGCAUUGCGUUGGUCCCCAUAUGAGGUGUAUUCAACGAGUCGGGUUGUUUGGGACUGCAGCCCUAAAUGGGUGGUAUACUCCAUCUAAAGCUAAAUAAUGGCGAGAGACCGAUAGCGAACAAGUACCGUGAGGGAAAGAUGAAAAGAACUUUGAAAAGAGAGUUAAAAGUGUGUGAAAUUGUUAAAAGGGAAGCGAUAGACAUCAGUGCAAUGCCAGUCGACCCGUGGUGGAUGCGUACGUUUGUUGAGCGGUUAAAGGCCAACGGUGUGCGGGUCCCCUAGUGUCGGCGGCAUGGUCAGCAUCAGUUUGUGGUGCGGGAUAGCAGGUGGGGAAGGUGCAUGCUGGCAACGGCAUGUUUAUAGCCCCACUGAGAGCCGUGCCGUGGACUGAGGAAAGCAGUGGGCCCUUGGGGCGUGCCUCCCGAAUGAGAGGGUGUGGUGCAGCGACUGCAGCAAUGCAUACGAUGUGCCGCAUCGCUUCUUUGGUGGCAGGCCACCAGCCUACUAAGGAUGCUGACGAAAUGGUGCCUACCGACC